Molecule: ribosomal RNA, 468 nt
Filed under: uncultured bacterium
Lineage: Bacteria
Description: partial 16S ribosomal RNA
Rfam family: Bacterial small subunit ribosomal RNA
Source: RNAcentral
GACGAACGCUGGCGGCGUGCUUAACACAUGCAAGUCGAACGGAAAGGCCCUGCGUUUGUGGGGUGCUCGAGUGGCGAACGGGGGAGUAACACGUGAGUAACCUGCCCUUGACUUUGGGGUAACUUCAGGGAACUGGGGCUAAUACCGGGUAGGAGCUCCUGCUGCAUGGUGGGGGUUGGAAAGUUUCGGCGGUUGGGGCUGGACUCGCGGCUUAUCAGCUUGUUGGUGGGGUAGUGGCUUACCAAGGCUUUGACGGGUAGCCGGCCUGAGAGGGUGACCGGCCACAUUGCGACUGAGAGACGGCGCAGACUCCUACGUGAGGCAGCAGUCGGGAACAUGGCACAACGGGCGGAAGCCUGUGGCAGCAACGCCGCGUGCGGGAUGCCGUCCUUCGGGGUGUAAACCGCUUUCGCCGGUGACGAAGCGUGAGUGACGGUAAUGGGUAAAGAAGCACCGGCUAACUACGUG